This 253-nucleotide ribosomal RNA is filed under the name uncultured bacterium. RNAcentral's name for it is "partial 16S ribosomal RNA". It matches the Rfam family "Bacterial small subunit ribosomal RNA", at positions 524 to 776 of the family's 1533-position model. The record is from RNAcentral.
UACGGAGGGAGCUAGCGUUAUUCGGAACUACUGGGCGUAAAGCGCACGUAGGCGGCUUUGUAAGUAAGAGGUGAAAGCCCAGAGCUCAACUCUGGAAUUGCCUUUUAGACUGCAUCGCUUGAAUCAUGGAGAGGUCAGUGGAAUUCCGAGUGUAGAGGUGAAAUUCGUAGAUAUUCGGAAGAACACCAGUGGCGAAGGCGGCUGACUGGACAUGUAUUGACGCUGAGGUGCGAAAGCGUGGGGAGCAAACAGG